Molecule: ribosomal RNA, 253 nt
Filed under: uncultured bacterium
Lineage: Bacteria
Description: partial 16S ribosomal RNA
Rfam family: Bacterial small subunit ribosomal RNA
Source: RNAcentral
UACGUAGGGGGCAAGCGUUGUCCGGAAUCAUUGGGCGUAAAGCGCGUGUAGGCGGCCCGGUAAGUCCGCUGUGAAAGUCCAGGGCUCAACCCUGGAAUGCCGGUGGAUACUGUCGGGCUCGAGUCCGGAAGAGGCGAGUGGAAUUCCUGGUGUAGCGGUGAAAUGCGCAGAUAUCAGGAGGAACACCGAUGGCGAAGGCAGCUCGCUGGGACGGGACUGACGCUGAGACGCGAAAGCGUGGGGAGCAAACGGG